RNAcentral lists this long non-coding RNA (823 nucleotides) under Marmota monax (woodchuck). Lineage: Eukaryota; Metazoa; Chordata; Mammalia; Rodentia; Sciuridae. The record is from RNAcentral.
AAAUAAAAUAUAUGUAUUGUAUCUAUCUACAACUAAAAAAAAAAAAAUAAGCCUGUCUGUCGGGAGCCAGUCCGGAAAUACACGCCCUUAAGUCCUGAGCAAGAGAUACUGAACAAUUAUUGCGCCCUGCAAUAACUUGGGCUUUACCUUCGCUCAGAUAAUGAGGUAUGGCUCCAGGAGUAGGCGUCACCAGGUGGGGUUGAGUUACACUCACCUGUUCCUUUGUAAUCCUACCCUUUUACUCUUUCUGGGAUAGAAUGUUCCAUGGAAACUCCCCUUGUGUGUCCCCUAUUUAAGAAUAAAGAAUGCCAGUGGCUCUCUUUCCACGAACCUCUAAGGUCCCAGAACUAUCCCCGGAUUUUGAAAAGGUACUUCUGUGUGUUUGUGUGCUUUCUUUGCCAUUUUCUUAAGUUAUUGGAAUAGUCAGAUUUUUUGAACCCAGCAUUAGGUCUCCAGCUAGGAUAGAUAGUGAUACCUGUCUAUGUCCAGUCAGCGUUUGAGGUUUCACUCAAACUGGGAGCUCCCGUUCCAAGAGAGCAAUCACAGCCUGCCUUUCUCCUCAUACAACUGAGCCCAAUCCUAUAGCUAUUAAUGUGUCCAGUCUCUUACUUAUCACAACCUGGGCUUUCAUUUACCCCUCUGUCAUCAUGGUUGUGUGUGGUGGGCUGUGUUUUUGUGUUACUGGGGACUGAAUUCAGGAAUGUGCCACCACUGAGCUACAUCUCCAUCCCUUUUUAUUUUAUUUUGAGACAGGGUUUCAGUAAGUUCCCCAGGCUGGCCUUGAACUUGCAAUGCUUCUGCCUCCUGAGUCACUGGGAUUACA